CCUGGCGGUGAGAGCGUGGUGGUCCCACCUGACCCCAUGCCGAACUCAGAAGUGAAACGCCGUAGCGCCGAUGGUAGUGUGGGGUCUCCCCAUGUGAGAGUAGGGAACUGCCAGGC
Molecule: ribosomal RNA, 116 nt
Filed under: Klebsiella michiganensis
Lineage: Bacteria; Pseudomonadati; Pseudomonadota; Gammaproteobacteria; Enterobacterales; Enterobacteriaceae
Source: RNAcentral